CACCAGGAGCUCUUGUAUUAGAAAUCAUAGACAAUAGGACAUUGUCUCUGAUGCAACUUGAACGCUUAGUCAGUUUACCAUCGCUAGCUUUGAUUCAGUAGCAAAUAACAUUUGAGAUUCUAUAUAGUUUUGACUCUUGGACUCAUCGCAUUUAUGAAUAAAUUUAUCUAAGAAACUAAUUGUAAUUGUAUUGGUGUUUAAUGAUGCUUGUCCAUCCAUGAUCUCUCAAAAUUAUGUUUUUACAAUCAUGCUUGUUGAUGCAAUG
This 265-nucleotide long non-coding RNA is filed under the name Oryza brachyantha (malo sina). Its description in RNAcentral is "long non-coding RNA (OBRA_LNC003235)". Lineage: Eukaryota; Viridiplantae; Streptophyta; Magnoliopsida; Poales; Poaceae. The record is from RNAcentral.